Molecule: long non-coding RNA, 733 nt
Filed under: Anas platyrhynchos platyrhynchos (common mallard)
Lineage: Eukaryota; Metazoa; Chordata; Aves; Anseriformes; Anatidae
Description: lncRNA (ENSAPLG00000027515.1)
Source: RNAcentral
UUUCAAAGGACAAAGUUAGCCUGAGAAGGCCAGUUUCUCUCAUAGCAAUGGACAGAAAGGAGCCUCCUCACACAGGUGGUACUGGUGGGUGCUCAAUGACCCAGGGAAGAACUGCUGACUGCAGACAGAAAACUGGAGAUAUGCUUUAAGCAGGGAGAGCACUGACUAGGCAGAGCGUCACUCAGGUCCUACAAGUUAGGGAAAUUCUGGAGUACACUCAAUCUGUGCCAGAGGCCAAUUCUACCCUUGGGCUGUAACUAGAUUUCUGGGGGAAAUGAAAAGCUUUUCAUAUUUCCUCCUGAUGCUUUGUGGCUGGCUGAAGCACAUCUAGGGAUCUGACCUUACCAGUUUAUCAGGAUUUUCUGAUACUGAGGUAAUAUUUGUGUCUCUCACUGCAAAAUAUAAUAUAAUAUAAUAUAAUAUAAUAUAAUAUAAUAUAAUAUAAUAUAAUAUAAUAUAAUAUAAUAUAAUAUAAUAAAAUAACAAUAAUAAUAAUAAAUCUUUUGGGAUUAGGUGAAUGUAGUUCACAGAAAUGACCAUGAUAUCUGUUCUUCAUUCAGAAGAAACACUAGAAGCAAUCAAAUGCCUUUAAGAAACAGGAGAAAUGAAAACACAGGAGCCAUCAAUGAGUACAGUGUGGCAGAUCUUUGAAGACCAGAACAUAGUUUAUGCAUGCACAGAUUGCACGGAUCCAGAAACAGUAUGCUCAUAUGAAUGGAAAAUUGUAAGCAAG